RNAcentral lists this ribosomal RNA (452 nucleotides) under uncultured bacterium. RNAcentral's name for it is "bacterial SSU rRNA". It matches the Rfam family "Bacterial small subunit ribosomal RNA", at positions 29 to 507 of the family's 1533-position model. The record is from RNAcentral.
AACGAACGCUGGCGGCAGGCUUAACACAUGCAAGUUGAACGGGAUUUGUGUGGUGCUUGCACCAUAUAAUGAGAGUAGCGCACUGGUGAGUAACACGUGGGAACGUGCCUUUUAGUGGGGGAUAACAUCUGGAAACGGAUGCUAAUACCGCAUACGCCCUGAGGGGGAAAGAUUUAUUGCUAAGAGGUCGGCCCGCGGUAGAUUAGGCAGUUGGUGGGGUAAAGGCCUACCAAACCUACGAUCUAUAGCUGGUCUGAGAGGACGAUCAGCCACAUUGGAACUGAGACACGGUCCAGACUCCUACGGGAGGCAGCAGUGAGGAAUAUUGGGCAAUGGAGGCAACUCUGACCCAGCCAUGCCGCGUGAGUGAGAAGGUUUUCGAAUUGUAAAGCUCUUUCGGGUGUGAAGAUGAUGACGGUAACACCAGAAGAAGCCCCCGGCAAAACUUCGUG